GAAAAACGACGAGAUGAGAAGAAGUUGCCACAUCUCAUGCUGAGCAGGUGAGCGCAUGGAAUGGCGGUAGGAGCAGUGCAAGGAUGGGUGGAGAAAUGCAAUUGGAGGGCAGUAUAUAAGGAGGAGGAGGAUAUGGUGUGAUGAUGGAUGGACCCGCGGAUCAAAGGCACUUCGGGCCCCACAAUUCAACCCAGCCAGCCAGCGAGAGCCUCCGCUAGCAGACGACGUCGUUCGCCUUACAGCGCUUUUGCUUUUUGCCCUUGUGCUUUUCAGAGGCGCCUUCUUCCUCAUUCAGCUAGUGGUCCUUCUGCUGGCUCCUUUUCUUUCUAUUCUUCUGCUUCAUCUUCCUGAGCCCAACCAAACCCGCUUCGCUGUAUGCGUUAUCCAGAUUCAUUUGCGAGCGAAAUCGAACACCAGUGUGUCCCCCGAAACUACGGCCGAGACAACGGAGACGACGAUGAUUGGUGAUGAUGGGAGGUGGUCCGAGUGGGAAAAAGAUAUUUCCUCUCUUGCAAACUUCAAUCGCCUGGUUUCCUUGAUUUGCGUGCUUGAGAAAGGGGCAGCACCCACCCAAUGAACGGAGGAGAGCGUCCCAUGGCGUCUGGCCCUGCAAAGCUUUGCGACGAUUUGUCCUCUCCCACCACCUCAACGUCACAGGACGACAACGCCGCAACGAACGACACUACCCCACCACACCACACUAAAACCUGACCCUAUCCUACCCUACCUUACCAUGCUAUACUAUACGAUGCUAGUGUAUGAAAUACAAUACGAAAGCAUAUCCGAUUUACGUUCAAGCUCACUCCUCUGGACCCUUUCACUGACCCCUCCCCUGGAUGUCUUAACCAUCCAUAACAAUACACAUCCAUCCUCUUUAUUCAUCCAUCCAUAUAGUGGUCUGCACCGGCAGCGUAACUAGCACAAUGCUCCACACUGGUGGCAGGAUCCGCCACGACACGUUGGAGUCCCAGGUUACUAGUUUUUCCUUAUAUCAGGCCAAGCUGGAUGAAUAACCCCCCCCCUCCCUCAUGUUCAGUUUCCGUAAGGCAAAUGGAGCUGUGAGCUACAUGUGCAUUCUUUUUGCUUCUUCAUGGUGUUUCAAUCAAUAUAUAUAUAUAUAUAUAUAUAUAUGUAUUUAUGUAUAAAUUAAAAUAAAUACAUGUUAUAUUUAGACAAAUAUUUUAUUAGAAAGGUAUUUAAUUAAAUAACUUACAUACAUCUUUAAUGAUAAAUUUUUAUUGUGAUUUGUUUUGAAUCAUCAUCUUGAAAAUUAAUUGAAUAGAAAACUUAGACAUACAUUAGUUUUAGGUGUAUGGUUAAUUAAACUAAUUGAUAAUUUUAUUUUUUAUUUUUUAUUAAAUUUGAUAUUAGAUUCUUUAAUAUUAUGCAUGAAUUUUUUAAAUUUUUAUAUGUUAAAAAAGUAUAAAAAUACUUAUAUAUAUAUAUAUAUAUAUUAAAAUUUUGGAAAUUUCAAAUAAUUUUACCAAAUUAUUUAUUUCAUCUUGUGUAAUAAGGCCAUUUCUUUAUUCAGGAACAUCUAUAUUAUUUUCAAAAAACUAUUUUUGGUAUUUUAGACAUUUAGAAGAUAUUUUAUUAAAUCAAAUACCACAAUUUGUAUCUAUUUUAUUUUAUUUUAUUUUUUAAAUCUUGUGUAUGAAAACUAAUUUUUUAAAAUUACAUCAUAUUGUAAUAGAUUCUUAAAAUAGACACAUCAAUCAAAUUCUGAAGCAGUCCUUAUUAGAAUGUAAACAUCAAUAAGAUUUUUUUAUGCAUUAUUCCCUAUUAGUUAAGUUUUUGAACAUUAUGUAUUCAUCAAAGAAAAUUUCAACGUUUCUAAAAACUAGUCAUCAUUCUUAAUCAAAUUUAUCUAAAUUAACAAUGUUAGAAACUUUACAACAAAAUAUUUAGAGCAUUUUUUUACUACUAGUUAAAAGAAGUAUAUAGUUAAUUCACAAGGAGUAAUAAAAUUAUAGAACCUAACGGAAAAUUUAAAGUAAAUUUAAAGUAAGAAACUUAAUUUCUCUAAGUAAAGAAAUAAAUAUAAAUAGGCAAAAAAAAUUACCAUUAAAGAUUUAGAAUCUAUUAAGGAUUAAAAUUGACCAUUAAAAUUUUACUUGCAAUCAUAAGUGUUAAAAAAUCUAAAAAUUAUAAUAUUUCAAAUCUUAUUUUUGUCUUAUUUUUAAUCUAGCCAUAACUAAUUUUAAAUUUUAAAAAAUAAUAUAUGUAUAUAUAUGUAUGUAUAUGUAUAUAUAUAUAUAUAUAUAUAUAUAUAUAUAUUAAAAUUAGAUAAAAUAUCUUAAUAUGUUUUAAACUACAUAUUUUUUUAUAAAAGAUACAAAAAAAUGGUUAUAUAAAUUAGUACAAGUAACAUAUUAGUUAUUUAUUUAUACAUUAUUUUUUAUAAUUUCAAAAUAUAAAAGAAUUAAAAUUUAAGUAAUAUUAUUAUAGUUGAAUAGAAAAGACAUUAAUAAUUUAUUUAUUUUAUAAUUUUAAAAUAUUAUUUAAAAAUAUUAAUAAAAAAAUUAAUUAUACAAUUUUUUAAAAAAAAACUUGAAAUAAAAAAUAAAAAUAAUUUUAAACUAUUUUUAAAUUAAAUAAAUAUUAUAUUAAUAUAAACUUAUUACAAAAAGAUUAACUCUAAAAAUAUUAAAUAAGAAAGAAUAGUAGGUUAUCCAAUCAUCUCCUAAUUUAGAUUAUAAUUAUGUUUUAGCUUCAAAAAUAAAAACCAAAAAAAUCAAUUUAUAAGGUGAAUAUAUUUUAUUUCAAAGUUCUUUGGAUCAUACAAUGCAUCAAAAAAACAUAAUUCUAGCAUAGACCAAGAUGGUCCUUGUUAUAUAGAAUGAGAAUUAUUAUACAAAGUUAUAAAUCUUUUUAUAAUCUAUCUUAAGAUCACUAUACCACAUCAAACUCUAAGGUCAAUUACAAUAUUUAGACUCAAAUCUUCGAAAAAAACUUUCAAGAUUACAAUACAUAAGUUUUAUUCAAAAAGAUUUAAUCCUAGCUUAAUCAAUUUAAAGAUUAUAAAUAAGAAGAUUAAAAAAUUAAAGUAAAGAUUUUUUAAGACAAUUUGGCAAUAGCAAUAUAUAGGAUUGUUUUUAAAGUAUUCAAGAUAUAAUACCUAAAAUAUAAUUUCAUAGAAUUACAAAAACUUUGAGCUAUAUUACAAAAACAAAAAAUGAAUUUAAAAAUAUUUGUCUCAAUUAUUACUCUCACUUGUGGAAAAAAAAAAAAAAAAAAAAAAAAAAAAAAAGGAUCUUUGAAGCAAAUGAAGCAUGCAUUUAUCUUUUAAAUAAUAUCUUAUGUAAAGCUAUUGUCAAGGACAAAGACUCGAUGAGGGAAAAUAUACACCAAAAGGCUAUCUCGAUAUAAUAAGUCAAAAUAUAAACAAGUAGGUAUAUUAAAAGAAAACUGGAAUGGCUAUUGCCACAAGACAAGAAACUAAAGACUCUUGAACCUGAACUAGAAGCAAGAAAGGAGUUGACAAGAGUGAAGAAGCCUUCACUCUUAUCUCUAUAUAUACUAUCUAACUAGGGGCUACGUGGCGACGUUCUAUAGGACCUCCAAUAUGUGUUGACUUUGUAGGACACAUGCCUUGACUUACAAGGCAAGUUUUUCUACGUGUGGGCCACAUAGUUAGCUUGAUCUUCAAGCUAACAACAUGUGUGGCACAUGGCCAACUUGUUGACCACGUUUCUAAUCCAAAAAGUCAAUUAAAGACACCUAUGAAGUCAAAGCAACGUCUAGGAAGUUUCUAGGAAGCUUCUAUAUUAAAUAUUAUAGAAUUAAUUUACAUUUAUCUACUUUUACUUACUUCUACCUAUUUCUAUAUGUAAUUAUUAGCUUACAUGAUUAUGGCCCUGACAUUACCCCCCCUUCUAGAGACGAGUUCCACGAGGAGCGGUCAUCAUAUGUUGAGGAAAUCUAUGAUGCGACGAAUUAUAUUCGCCACAUACUCUGAUCUCUGCUCUCUUCGAAGAUGAUUGAUAGGGCCUCUCAACCAUCGGUAGUGUCCCAUACUAGGGUGGGAAGACCACCCAGUUAUUUGAUCAUUGUUGAGGCCUUCGUAACUUCCUUCGAAUAGAAUAUUUGGAACACCAUCAGGAGUUGUUCCUACCUCUAGCAAAAUCACCAAACAUCGAGAGUCCCUUCCCAAAUCGUGAUACUAAACGCAUUGUAUCUCACCAUCUGUUCAAAGAAGAACAUGUCGUUCUUGAAGAUCUUCAUCUCGAUUGCGUCAUCUUAAAGGUUGUGACAAUCGUAAUGUCUCGUCCAGCAGGUCAGCAAACGAAGGUUCUUGAAUUGAAUCUGCUGGUUGUUGGCUCUCCAUCUAAUUAGCAUCACAAAUGCAAAGAAGUUACAAACAAGGAUAGAAAAUUGAAUGUUAUCUUGCUUCAAUCUUGUCUCUUUUAUAAGAGAGAUUUUCAUCUUGAUUUUGAUGGAUGUCAUUGAUGAAAAACUUUGACUUUAGCUGAUGCAUUUGCUAGAUUCCUGGAUGGCUCCCAUGUGCGUUCACUAAUAUCAUAUCCGCGCCAAUGAACAAGAUAUUCCAGCUUAUUUCGGCGCCGCCUUGAGUCUAAUAUCUCUUCCACCUCAAAUUCUUCAUUAUUAUCUACUUCUAUAGGAGGCGGUGGCAUUUGUCUUCUUCCUUGUAUAUCCACUGUCUUAUAUAGUUCAAGAAGAGACACGUGGAAUACAGGAUGGAUCUUCAUUGACUCCGAUAGAUGUAACCGAUAUGCAACUGGGUUGAUCUGUUCAGAAACAGAAAAGGGGCCAAGCCUACGAUAGUCCAACUUAUCACAAGGUCGAGUAGUCUUGAUAUUGCGACGAAGUAGCCAUACCUUAUCACCCACGUUGAUUUAUGGUUGCUCCUUACGAUAUAGAUCUACAUUUAUCUUUUGUCGUUCUUGAGCUUCCUUCAAUUGCGUCUUCAUUAUUGCAUGUAACUCUGACAACCGAUUUGCCAUAUCUUCUGCUGCAGGAUUAUCAACUUUUGAAAAAUCAAAAGUAUCAAGUCGUGGAUGAUAGCCAUAAUUGGCAAAGAAAGGUGUUUGUUGCGUGGAAGAAUGUACUGUAUUAUUGUAAGUAAUCUCUACCAAUGGCAGAAGGGUUGUCCAAUCAUCUUGUUCGUAGUUGAUAGUACACCUUAAAUAUUGCUCCAAGACUUGGUUUACGCGCUCUGUUUGUCCAUCAGUUUGAGGGUGGAAAGCCGAAGAUAGCUUUAUGUCCACUUUCAAAAUCUUGAAAAGGGUCCUCCAAAAUCUUGACACAAAUUGAGUUCCCCUAUCUGAUAUGAUAUCUUUAGGUAAUCCAUGAUAGCGAUAGAUAUUAUCAAUGAAAAGCUUAGCUGUUUCUUCACCUGUGAUAGAUUUUGUACAUGGCACAAAAUGUGCCAUCUUGGUGAAACGAUCUACUAUCACAAAUAUAGAAUCAUAAGAUCUUGAGCUUAGAAGAUCUAUGAUGAAAUCCAUAGAAACAGAAGACCAUGGUUGUUCUGGUAUAGGUAAUGGCUGAAGAAGUCCGUAAGGUCGAUGACGAGGAAUUUUUGAUCUUGAACAAAUAUCACAUGAUUGUACAAAGUCUUUGACUGACUUCCACAUUUGUGGCCACCAAAAAUCUCUUGAUAUGAGUUCCAAAGUCUUAUUAUAUCCAAAGUGCCCUGCUGCUGGAAAGUCAUGACGUGCUUGAAGAACACGUAAACGUGCUUCUCCUUCUGGAACAUAUAGGCGUCCUUCAAAAUAUAAUAGAUUAUUCUUGAACUCGAACUUAGAAGGAUCAUGAGAAUUGGAAGAAUUAUUCUCGAUAUCAUAAACAAGAGGGUCUGAGGACAUACUAGAUUGGAUUUGCUUGAGAAAAGUUGAAUCAAUAGUCAAUGUUGAUUUCAUUGCUCGGAGAUGAAAUUGCUCCGGUUUCAAGAGGACCGUUCUUUGUUGCUCAAAAGCUGCAUCUCCUUCUUUUGGUGCAAAAUAAGAACGUCUAGAUAGGGCAUCAGACAAACCUUAUUGUUUUCGUGGCCGAUAAGUGAUAAUGAACUCGAAUCUUGACAAAGACAUACUCCAACGAGCUUGACGACGAUUCAACACGCGUGUUGACAUGAAAUACUCGAGGUUCUUGUGAUCUGUAUACACAGUGACUGGACUAGAAGCGCCUUCUAGAUAAUGACGCCAUUCUUGAAAGGAAUCCACGAUCGCAAGAAGUUCUUUAUCGUGGAUCUCAUAAUUGAUCUCGGCUGCUGAGAAUUUUCUUGAAUGAAAAGCUAUCAGAUGAAGUUUGUCAUCUGUUCCCAUUUGUGAUAAAACUGCACCCAAGGCAAAAUCUGAUGCAUCUGUUUCCAUAAAAAAUGCCUUGGAAAAAUCAACACGAUAUAAGACUGGUGCAGAGACAAACGAUGUCUUCAAGGCUUCAAAUGCUGCUUCCGCUUCUUGAUUCCAUUGGAAUUUAUCUUUACUAGUCAAGCGUGUAAGUGGAGCUGCAACUCGUGAGAAGUCUUUGAUGAAGAUCCGAUAGUAAUUGGCAAAUCCCAAGAAACAUUGGACAUCUCUUACUGUCCUUGGAAUCUUCCAAUCCAUGAUUGUUUGGACUUUCUUAGAAUCCAUCAUGAGACCAUCAUUUGAAAUGAUGUAUCCUAAAAAUUCAACUUGAGUAGUGUGAAAUACACACUUUUCCAUCUUGGCGUAUAAUCCUACAUCUCUAAGUUUUUGUAAUACUUGACGAACAUGUAUUUCAUGUUCUUCGACGUUCUUAGAAUAGAUCAGGAUAUCGUCUAGAUAGCAGACGACAAAAUUGUCUAAGAAUUCACGAAAUACAUCAUUCAUGAGAUGUUGAAAAGCAGUUGGUGCAUUCGUGAGUCCAAAGGGCAUGACAUUAUAUUCGAAAUGUCCAUACCUGGUUCGAAACGCAGUCUUCCAUUCACCUCCUUCUUUGAUCCGUACUAGAUUAUAUGCUCCUCUUAGAUCUAUUUUCGUAUAGAUCUUAGCUUGAUUCAACUGGUCAAGGAGUCCUGAUAUCAAAGGUAAUGGAUACUUGUUCUUGAUUGUGAUCUUGUUGAGUCCUCGAUAAUCAACACACAUUCGUAAAGAUCCAUCUUUUUUCUUUACGAAUAGAAUUGGAGCUCCUGCUGGAGAUUUUGAAUGGCGUAUGAAAUUCUUCGCUAAAUUCUCGUCAAUAUAUGUCUUGAGUUCAGCCAUCUCAUCUUGCGAUAAACUGUAAAUUGGUCCAAAUGGUGGCUGAGUUCCUUCCUUGAGGUCGAUUGAACAAUCAUAUAGGCGAUGCUCAGGAAGAAUAUCUGCAUUCUUUUUCUCAAAAACGUCUUGAUACUCCUAAUAUUGACUUAGAAUGCCAAUUAAAGUCUUUACGUUUUCAAAAAUAGGUGCAGCAUAAAUAGCAAAAGUUGAUCCUUCUUUUGUUGCGUGUAUAAAUGCUUUUGCACCUAUCAGUACGGGUUUUACUAUACUAGACUUAUAAUUUUUUACUUGGUUGGUAGAACUAUUAAUAACGCUUGGGGAAAAGUCAAGUUUGCGUGAAUUCCAAUCUAUUCGAGGGUUAUAUUUUUCUAGCCAGGAUAAACCUAAAAUAACUGGAUUGGACGGGGAUUUAAUUAUAUUAAAAGCUAUGUAGCUAUCAUGACCGUCUAUUGUUACUUUUAUAGGAUGAGUUUCAUGAGUGACAUCUCUAGAAGACAAGGGACGACCAUCUAUGACUUCUACAUGUACUGGUUUAGGUUUCUGUACAAAGGGUAUUUUACGACUUUUAAGAAAUUGUUCAUCUAAAAAACAUGCUGAGGCUCCCGAAUCUAAUAAAGCAGAGGCUUUGUAAUUCUUAGGUCCUAAAUAUAAGUCUAUUAUAAAACAAGGAGAGGGUUCUGAGGAGAGGAUAGGACCUUCAUUAGGAAUUGUACAAGGUUCCAACUGCACGAUCCCUAUUGUAGCUGGACGAAUCCGUUUUCCGACAUGUUGUCUUCUUUGACCGUCGUACCCCUCAUUUUAUAGUUGCGUCGUUUCUUUGGACAAUGUUGAGCAGUGUGCUUAGGUUUUCCACAAUAUAAACAUAAUCCUUCUUGACAACGACGAAUCUUUUCUUGCUCAGUUAGGAGUUUAAAAUGUACCGCGUCAAUUUGCAUGUCUUCUACUACUGAAUGUACGUUUGGCAAAGAUGUUGAUGUUGCCAUUGAGUAAUAACGUUGAGGUUCCCGUGAAUGAUUCUCGGAUCGAAAUUCGAAAAGUCGAUUAUUACAUUUUACCGCAAAAUCGAUUGCUUGACUCAAAGUUUGAGGAUCAGGUAAGUUGAGCAUCAAUUUCUUUACUUCGUAUUGCAAUCCAUAAAGAAAUUGACUGAUGAGUGCAGCAUCAUCCCACUUGAUGUCAAUUGCAAGUUGUCGAAAUUGUGAAGCAUACACUGUUACUGAACGAUUUCCUUGUCGCAGAAUUCGGAUCUUAUUUGUUGCAACAUGAGUUGCAUCGUGUUCACCAUACAUAGAUCGAAAAUCCGCCAAAAAAGCUUCCAAAUUUUCCAAUAUUGGAUUUCGUUGUUCAAGAAAAGACGAAAACCACGAUAAUGCAGAACCAGAAAGUAGAGUGUCAAUAAACCUGACUUGUGAUCCUGGAGUUGGAUAGCUUUGCGGUUCAAGUUCAAUUGCCAAUUGUACUUGAUUGAUGAACCCUCAAAACUUUGAUCUCGUACCAUCAAAUUUCUCAGGUAAGGUAAUUCUUGGUUCUCUAGUGCUUAUAGGGUGUUGUACAAUCGGAGAAGGAACGUGAUUUGUUGUAGAUGUUGAAGCAGCUCCGAUCGUCUCUAUAUCUCCACUUUCUGCUAUUCUUGUUCUUUCCUGUAUUGGUGAAUUGAGUUGAUGCAUCGCAAGCAUUAACUCCCUCAUUUGCUCUUGCAUUUGUGCCAUUGCACUCUUCAUUUCAACAAGCUCUGCCAUAAUGACACUAAGAAGAAAAAUUUGUUUGAUAUUGCUCAAGACAAAAGAAAAGAAAGACUUGAUAACAAAGAAGAUACUAAGAACAAUAUCAGUUUAGAAGUGGGUAAUCCGCAAACUUCUAAUACGCUUAUGUCUUGUCAAGAGAAAGGGGUAAUCCACUCUUACUCAAGAAAAAAUAAAGCUCUGAUAUUGUAAAAGUACUCUUGUCAAUCUGUCAAAGACAAAGACUCGAUGAGGGAAAAUAUACACCAAAAGGCUAUCUCGAUAUAAUAAGUCAAAAUAUAAACAAGUAGGUAUAUUAAAAGAAAACUGGAAUGGCUAUUGCCACAAGACAAGAAACUAAAGACUCUUGAACCUGGACUAGAAGCAAGAAAGGAGUUGACAAGAGUGAAGAAGCCUUCACUCUUAUCUCUAUAUAUACUAUCUAACUAGGGGCUACGUGGCGACGUUCUAUAGGACCUCCAAUAUGUGUUGACUUUGUAGGACACAUGCCUUGACUUACAAGGCAAGUUUUUCUACGUGUGGGCCACAUAGUUAGCUUGAUCUUCAAGCUAACAACAUGUGUGGCACAUGGCCAACUUGUUGACCACGUUUCUAAUCCAAAAAGUCAAUUAAAGACACCUAUGAAGUCAAAGCAACGUCUAGGAAGUUUCUAGGAAGCUUCUAUAUUAAAUAUUAUAGAAUUAACUUACUUUUAUCUACUUUUACUUACUUCUACCUAUUUCUAUAUGUAAUUAUUAGCUUACAUGAUUAUGGCCAUAACAGCUAUUGAUUGGAUGCACAAUAAAUUAUCUAUGCCUCUUUAUUUUUACAAACUUGAAGAAACUAAAUAUAAAUUGAUGAAAGGUAAGGUACUUCAUCUAGAUGACAUCAAGAUUUGAUUUUUACAAACAUUUUAACAAAUCAUUAGAGAAGACUAUGUUGCAAUGGUCAAUAUAUCUUUAAUAAAAGGUCACUUUUUAAAAGUAUUAUUAAGAUUGUAUAAUCCUAUUAUAUAAAGAAGAUGAAUUUAUUUUUUCUUUUUCUUUUUUCUUUUAUAGAAGUAACUAAUUAUGGCAAAAAAAUCUCUCUUUUGUUUAAAUGUCUACACAAGUUAUAGUCAUUGUUAAGAGGAUUUUGCUUGUAGACUAUUUAUAUUUAUAGAAACAAAUAUUUCUUUAAAAAUGAAGUGCAUAGAAUGACAUCCAUAUUAGAAGCAUGAUUUUGAGUAGGUUAAUAGAAAAUGGACAAAUUAGUUAGUUAAUUAAUUCAUAAAACAAAAUAAAAUAAAAUAAAAAACAUCUUAAACAUCUUAAAUAUGAAACUACUCUUUCUAUAAAUUAAGACAAAAUUUUAAUAAAAAAAUCACCUAAUUGGUACUAGAAUGCAUAAGAUAACUAAAUAGAAAUUUAGAAUACCACAAAGAGGCUUCAUAAUAUAAAAAAGUAUUAAAAAUUAGAAAAUAAUAGAUUAGUAGUUACUUUAUAUAAUAAUCUUAACUUUCUCUUCUUAAGUAUUGAAAGUUAAGAUAUUAUUUUUGCUUAUAUUUCACUCUAUUAAUAAAUUGGAUAUAUAUUUUUUCAAUAAAUUUUUUAAUUAAUUAAAUAAUUGAAUUUUCAAGUUUUUUGAAAAUUUCUUCAACUUGAUAAAAAAAAUUACUUAAGCUUCAAACUAAAAUAAUAAAAAAUAAAAAAUUUAAGACUUUUAUUAUGUUUCAUUUUUAGAUUAUUAAAAAGAAAUCCACUGAGAAAAAAAAAAUAUAUAUAUAUAUAUAUCAUUUAAUUAUUUUUUAUAUUCGUACAUUAAAAGUAAAAAACACAACUAAACAACAAAAUAUAUACAAUGACACUUUGUAUUAUAAAAAAAUUAACAAGUAUGCCUUAAAUUAUUUAUGAUUGAUAAACAUGACAAUAAAAGAUAAUCUUAUUUUACUUCUGAAGUUACACUCAUUUUUCAAAUUUGAAUGUAAAAACUACAAUUAAAAAUUAUUCUAUGAAGAAAAAUACAUUUAACAAUCAGGGUAUUUUAUAGAACAUCUACAUUGAAAAAUGACAUAGUAAAUUAGAAAUUAGUCUUUGUAAAAACAGACUUUUCACCUAUCAUCUUAAGUAGCAUGAAAUAGUCAGUUAUAAAACAAAAUAUUUUUCAUGACAAGAGAUUAAUUUAAAAUGUUUAAAUACAUCUGUUAAUGCAAGAGACAAAAUUUCCAUACAAUGUAACUCAAACGCUUGAAUUUUAUGCCAACAUUGAAUCCCAAGCAUACUUGAUUUUCAAGCUUUUCAAAACUUUCUUUCAUAUCUUUUUUGUUAUUAUAUAUAUAUAUAUAUAUAUAUAUAUAUAUAGUAUUGUUCAUUUUAAUUGUUUCCAUCAAGGUUAUCAUUCAAGGCAAAAGUGGAGAGCAAGACACCUGUGCUGUGUAAUGCCUCUAACUUUUUCUUUGCUCCAAAUCACAUACAUCUGCAAAGAAUGUGGAAUGAUAUAAGUGGUAGGUGGAUAUACUUUCCACCCAAAACAUAAAAAGAAUAAAAUAAAAUAAACUUAAAAAAAUAAAAGGGAGUGGCAAGGAAGUCACACUUAGAAUCAUUAGAAUGCUAGUGUUUGGAUCCAAGACAACACAUUAUGAUGCUCUACCACUUUUCUAGCUAUCUCCAUUUUGUCCACAGAAGAAGGCACUUUGUUUGUUUCUUCUCUUUUUUUUUAAUUUUUAAUUUUAAUUUUCUUCCUACAACACGGCCACACUCUCUCUCUCUCUCUCUCUCUCUCUCCCCUCACAAUGAAUAACUAAAUUCCCAAAUCAAAAGGGCUACAGAAGAGGGCAAAAAAUGAUAGUCAUGGAAAGGAGACCCUUGUUAUUAAAUUGCCAUGGAAAGGGGAUUUUGUUCCUUGUGUUUUGGGUAGGAGCUUUAGCAAUGGCCCUCUGAGAAGGAGAAAAGGAACAAUGUGAAGAAGGGGAUUGCAUAUUCACAUCACCAUUCUUGUCUUUUGGGUGUCCCUUGUGAGACAUUUUGGAAGCUUGCUUGUUGUUGACACCUGCUCCAAUGUUGGAUUAUUAGGCAAUGCACCAAGAAAAGUACCCAUAAAAAAGUGGCUUUUCAACCCCCCCUCCCCCAUUUUGUGCACCUUUUGGAUUCCUUUUAUAUCAUGUUUUUUAAUAAAUUAAAAUUGUCUGUUGCUUGUUUUAAUGAGUUUGCACAAACAACAAGGCAUAAAAAGCCCACAUUUGAGCAAACAUGAUGAGAUUUUUCAUACAUAUAUAUAUAUUGUGGGAGGUUGAAUGCUUGCAAUCACUUGCCCUGCAUUCUCCAUGAAUUCAGUUCCUCCGUGUAGACUUGCAGGAUAAGAUUCAACUUUGAAAAGGCACGUGAUACUAACCAUCCUUUCGUUCAUUCAUUGCAUCGUUGUUUUUGAUAUAAUAGAUGGUUUGAAUCUCACAAAGUGUAUUUGUAAACUGGGGUUUCUUUCUGCAUUCCACCAACACAAACAGGAAAAAGAAAAAGAAAUACAAGGAAAGAAAAAGAAAAUGAUACCAAGUUCGAAGUUACUCGAGGUGAAGAUAAAAUAAAAUAAAACAGAAGGUGAGUGCAUGGUUGGUCAUCCAAUUAGAACAUGUUCCCCAUGGUUCCCCAAGUGUGAGGCUCUUGAGCCCUUAAGCAAAGGGACAAUGGAGAGGCACCACUUGGAAGUCUGCAGGCUCAGGCUUUGAGAACUUUGGGAACUUUGGGGAACAGAAAAAAAGCUGUUCCACAGUGGCAGAGUCGUUGCCCAAUCCCAGCGCUCCGUCCACCACAACUAAAAGCCCUAAACCCUAUUGGCCACCCUCAAAAAGCUGCAUUUUCUAUGUAUUUAUUUUUGGUAUAUUUUAUUUUUGGAUAACCAAAACAAAUAAAAUCAUCUCCUUUAUGAAUCAAAAGUAACAUGGUUGAAUAGGUAGAUGUGAGAUCAUCAAACAAGUUCACAUGAAGAGUGAGUUUCAUGUGGAGGAAUGUCUGCUCUAUCCUCGAACUUUGGGUUUGUGUGAAAGUGGCCUUUGUCUCAUAAUACAAAUAUUUCCAUAACCAGCUUGGAUCAUUCAUAAAAGUUGGCGCAUCAGUGUACAUUGGCUUCUAAAAAAACCCAGUAAUGCAGCUGACUCAUUGUCAACUGCCCCCAAUUUCUAUGGGGUACUUCUAUUGUCAACCAAUUUGGACAUUUUUGUGGUUUGAAAUAGGUCAGGACAUUUUUGUUUUUGUUUUGUUUUUUGUUUGUUUGUUAUUUUUUUAAUUUUUUAAUUUUCUACUGGAUAUAUGCCGAAAUGCUUAAGUUAUUGAAAAUGGGUUGUCUACCUUAAACAAAACCCACAAGGCUCAUUGGUGGUAGAACAUGGGAUCCUUAUCUUUAGAGUUAGAGUCCUGGUCCACACAACAAAGCAUGGGGUUUGUGUUGGAUUUUUUUACUUUGGAUAAGAGAAAAAUGCCUGCCUAGUCAAAUCUGAUGAACAAAGAAAAUGGACUUAAGUGUGUGUGUAUAUUAUCAUAGAUAUUCAUACACAUGCAUACACUUUACUUUACAAGCUGAUUAACUUUUAUGCAACAUUCUCGAUGGCCAGAGAAAAGGAGGAAUUUUUGUUCUUCUGGUCAUGAGAAGUUAGAUACUGAAACGAGGGACAGGGGAGCCACACACUCGUCAUGUAUUAUAAAAUUUGAAAAAGAGUGAUAAAUAAAUGAGUAAACAAAGAAAAUGAAAAACAAAGAAUGGAAAUAAAAAGGGGGGGGGGAGGGGCAGGAACAAAGUGGAAACAAAACCUGUGGCAGAAAAAGAGACACAUGUGGAAUAAAACAAUAACCAAAAGGGGGGUGUUAAAAAGCUGUUGGAUGAUUGGUAACUGCUGCAGGGAAACUCAUUAAUGGCUGUGUGGGUCUGAUGAAGAAGGUCUUGAUAUCCACUUGAGAAUGUUGUGCUUCAAAAGCCUUUUGCAAUAGGUUUGCCCCAUCGUCAGCUUUUUCUAUAAAAAGUGGUGAAAGGAUUUUCUGUUUGAAUAAAGGUGAGUUUCAGAUUGGCUUGUUAUGCCCACAGAAAUUGCUGUCAAAUGAGCUUCCUUGUCAGGAAAAAGAAGAAGAAGAAGAAGAAACAAUAACAGUUAAAAUAUUAAAUAUUAAAUUGGAAAAGACCCCAUUUUCUGCAGUGGGCACAACAGCACUUUUCUAUGUCAGGCAGCUCUCAAAAAUCUUCUCGAGGACUUUCUUUCUUUUCAUCUUAUUUUUUUUUCUGUUUUUUCACGCUACUUUUCACUGAGACUUCGCCUAAGACAUCCUUUGCAGGGAAAAAGAGAUGAUCAUAAUCUAUGGUUGGGAGCCAUCCACAUUGCCCAUUUGAAUGGUCUAUCGUGGGACAACCAGUCCCUCACAAUUAGAAGGGAAAAAAGAAAUAGACAAAGAUAUGACUUGUCUCUUUUGAGGGUUCAGCUCGUUGUCCAAUAAAGCACCUUUUAUUAGUAAAACGUUAACAGAAUCAAGCUCUUUUAAUAUUAAUAUUAUUAUUUAUCAGUUUUUCCUUUUAAAGCAUUGGAGUGCCAACUCUUGUGAAAUAUAGAAUUAGCAACCAAACAUUUGAUUUGGAUAAUGGUGGUGUAGAAACACGACACAGAAAGCAAUGAGUUAAUGUAGUCAAGUUAAUCCAAAUGUCAUGGUGUUGCUAUCUAAUUGUUUAAUAAUGUCCUCAGUAUAUACACAUAUUUAUAGCGCCAUACAAGUGGCAUUGAUGGAUGCGUGACAUACCUUGUGUCUAAAAUCUAGAAGGUUUUAUCCACAAUGACUCUUUAAAAAGGCCACUUCGCACACAAGUU
RNAcentral lists this long non-coding RNA (14720 nucleotides) under Physcomitrium patens. RNAcentral's name for it is "long non-coding RNA (PPAT_LNC008306)". Lineage: Eukaryota; Viridiplantae; Streptophyta; Bryopsida; Funariales; Funariaceae. The record is from RNAcentral.